CGAGGACGAGAUACAGUGCAG
RNAcentral lists this microRNA (21 nucleotides) under Oryza sativa (Asian cultivated rice). RNAcentral describes it as "osa-miR5793". The record is from miRBase by way of RNAcentral. Lineage: Eukaryota; Viridiplantae; Streptophyta; Magnoliopsida; Poales; Poaceae.